Molecule: unclassified non-coding RNA, 323 nt
Filed under: soil metagenome
Description: partial contains 5.8S ribosomal RNA, internal transcribed spacer 2, and large subunit ribosomal RNA
Rfam family: 5.8S ribosomal RNA (bases 1-120)
Source: RNAcentral
GAUGAAGAACGCAGCGAAAUGCGAUAAGUAAUGCGAAUUGCAGAAUUCAGUAAGUCAUCGAAUCUUUGAACGCACAUUGCGCCCUGUGGUAUUCCGCAGGGCAUGCCUGUUCGAGCGUCAUUUCAACCCUCAAGCUCCGCUUGGUGUUGGGCCCUGCCCCCGCGGCCGGCCCCAAAGACAGUGGCGGCGCCGCUCGGCCCUAAGCGUAGUACAUCUCUCGCUCUAGGACCCGGCGGUGGCCUGCCAGAACCCCCAACUCAUGUGGUUGACCUCGGAUCAGGUAGGGAUACCCGCUGAACUUAAGCAUAUCAAUAAGCGGAGGA